AAGCGAUGAGAUGGCAGUCCCGAGAGGAGGCACAGCGGAUGAGAUGGCGGCGGAGGUCAUCGACGGUGACCUGGUUGGCGCGGAAGGGUCGAACGUCGGCGCCGGAGCAGUGCGCGAGGCAGGCGACCUUGCCGAAGGUGAUGCCCUCCGCCUUGAUCUUGUCGAGGGGCUCGCAGCAGUCGAGCAUGGACUCGUCGAACCACCGCCAGGGGCCCUUCCAGCGGCGGCCGGGGUCGAUGGCGAGCGCGUUGAGGACGACGGCGAGGGAGGCGAGGCCGCAGAAGGCCGGCUCGGACUGCGUCUGGAAGCAGGAGGCGAGGCUGAAGAAGCCCUCCAUGGUGCCGCCCUCGAGGGCCUCCGAGAAGAGGCGCUUGCCGUCCGGCGAGGUGAAGUCCACCGCCGGCGGCGACGGGAGGACCCGCCGGUACAGCGACGCCACCGUCGCCAUCCUCCUGCCCUGGGUGCUCGCUCGCCCCUGAUCUCGCUGUCGAUGCUAUGCUCUGAUUCGUCACUGCAGCCACACAGCAGCAAAUGAAAAUUCAAAUUGCACAGGCAUCUCCUCUCCUUUCGACCCCAUCCGCUUUUCCUCUCUCGUUUUCGGAUUACAUGAUUCUCUUCUCACUUGUUUUUCCUUUUCUUUUUGACUUGCGAAAGCAAGACUUGCAUUGCAUAAUUGCAUUACCUAGUUUACGACUACCUGCGAAGGCCACAAUAAGACUUCCAGGGAAUACAAAACAGCUACCAAUACAGCGCCACAUGUGACGCCUCGGCGGCAACGCCACCGGGCACCCCGUGUUUGACGGGUGGUUUGGUUCCCGGCCACAUUUUGCUACACCUAACCUUUGUCAAGUUUGAUCACAACUAACUUUUAGCAAGAUUUUUUAGACUCCACAUGUCAUUGAGACAAAUUUCUUUACCACAUUUUUUAGACUCCACAUGUCUAUGGAUAUGACUUUGACUUUUAGUAACCUUACUGAUUCUCAAUUAUUAGCUGGAAGAGAAUCAGUAAGGUUAUAAAACGGUGGUAAAUCUUCGGCACAAUAUUUUGACAUGCACAUGCUUUGACAGGUUUCAUCUCUGGCUCUCUGCAGGACCUGAAAGUAAUUGAGUAAAAUGAAACUACAUCAAUUGCGUUCAACAGAGCAAGCAUCAGAACUUCACCAUUGUGUGAAGCCAUGGAGGAGCUGCAUUGUGCCUUGAUAUAAGCAUGAACCUAACAGAUAAUAAAGAUGUCAUAUGCCAAUGUUUUAAAAUGCAAGGUCACUGGUCACUGCAAUUUUCUGAUGCAAGGGUAUCUGAGAACAUCGCAGCUGGUUGACAGCACACAUCAGUUGAAAUUCUUCUAAGAGAAUCUUCUUCACUUGACGAUGAGCAAUUACAAGGGCUAGUAGCAUACUGCAGAUUGCAGACUUGCGGUGAUACAUUUUCCUGCAAGGGAACAAAAGCUUGAGCCAGCAUCAGAAAAUGAAAUGGAUGAGUGACCUUCAAAAGAAGCCUUUCUUUCUCCCCUUUGCUCAAAGCUUCGCCGACCUUUCUUUUUUCUCCUAACUUCAACAACCCAUUUGAUCAAAGCUCCAGCAUCAGCUGGACGGGACAAAAGAGUUGGAACAUUGUCUGGAUUUUCCGCCUUCAAAAGAUUUGGAAUAUUAUCACAUGCUUUUGCCUGGAUUCUCCAUCUUCAAAACGUUUGGAAUAUUGUCACAUGCUUUUCCAAGUUUCACGUCUGCAACUCUGCAGAGAAUCGAAAAUAAUGAGAGAAAAAAAACAAUAUCAAAUUUGUUCAUUUAUAUUCAACAUGCCAAGCAUUGGCGUGUUUACCACUGCUUAAAGCAAUGGAGGAGCUGCAGUGUACCUUGGUAUAAGCAUGAAGAUAUCAAUAUUAAAGAUGUGAACAUCUUAAAACAACAUGAUGGCAAGGGUAGUAAAUUGAUCAUAUAGAAGAAUACUGAAACACCACUGGAAGUUCUCUGAAAGCAUAGGAAAUAGUACAUAUGUAAUGCAAUAGUAAGGUAUACUGUAAGCAGAUUACUAUUUUCAUACUUGCUACAUUUAAAGUGUAUUGUAUGUGUAGUACUGUUUUGUAGUUGCUGUAGUUUGAAAACUAUGACUAUCCUAAUAUUUUAUUUAAAACUAGCACAUCACCACCAAAUAGAGCAUAUUUUUCAUAUUAACAGUCUUAAAGAGAACAUCCACCGGCCCUUUGGCAAUGAACAUUUUAAAACCAAUAAACUGGGGAUGCAAAAAAGAAAAAAAACAAAGAUUUGAAACCGAAUAAAUCAAUACCAUUUCUCAUGCAAUAGACUAUAUUUUUUCAUGCUAAAAGAUACACCAUUUGGAGACUUACAAGGAAUGGGUUGUCUGAAUGGACGCCAAAUCAACAAAGACCAGAGAGGAUCUAGUCAACAGGUUGUUCCCGUUGAUGCUAAAUCUGAUCCUAUAUGGCCACUCUGAUGAUACACAGGGAGAGAAGCUGGUGCUGAUGGCUACUGAUGCUGAUCCGACAAUGACAUAGGCAUGCUCCGAGCUGCAUGACCAUUGCUGUUUUUGCUUGUUGUUGUUUUCUCAGUCUGUUAAGCCACGGUUCUAGUUAGACUGGUGUGUUUGGGUGUUUCAUAGGAUGACAAAGGUCUUGCGUGAGUGGUGAGAUGGCAAACUCAGUGCUUGGAACAUGUGAAAGGUACUGCUGCAAAACCAUUUUGGUCAUGUUGGAACUCUAAAAAAAAUACAUGUUGCUUUAAAGCACAUCCUGAUAGUCCAUGAAUAAUAGCCUAUAUCCCAACUACAGCUGCUUAAUCCAAGCUUCAAGAGCUACCAUCCCAGGUAAUAAGAUACAGAUCCUACCCGAAUACACGUUGGUUCAUAAGGAAAUAAAAAUGAUCAACGUUCAAGAAUGCAAGAAAGAUGGACGUGAGAGGAGACCCCCUUGUGAAACCCAAUUGAUUCAUUAGUUAAUGAAUCUGAGAGAAGCUCCCCUGUGAAGCCCAGUUCAUUCAUUAGUCAUGUUCAUGGGUUCCAAAAUAAGUGGCAGUGGAACCCAAUGAGGAGGAUAUUUGAAGUGCACAACAUCCCAGUCGAGCACCGUAUAUCCUCUCAGGCAUGGUAGACGCCGACUCAAGAACAAUAGCCUCACAUAGAGCAAUGAGUACAAUAGAACAGAUCAAUAGAUAUUUGUGUCAUCAUUAAUAUCAAAAUUUUGUUUUUGCAAUUAUCAAAACCACUCUUAACUUUUUUAUUGACAUCAAUUUCCAGUACAUAAAUAAUUAAGUCUGCCCAUUGUCACUUAGAGCAAGGGAGUAACACUGGAUCUCAUCAAUAAGAUAUGUCGUCACUACUAUCAUAAUUCUUCUCAUUAUAGUCAAGAAUCACUCUCUCGCAACUUUUCUCCUGACAUCAAUUUCCAGCAAGUAAAUUAAUGAUGUGGGCACUUCCUGCUUUAGCCUAGCCACUUAGGUGAUGGCAGAUCAUCAUCUUCGUAUUCCUCCUUUUCUUUACAAGUCUUCAGAUAAUAAAGUUGCCGCCUUAGAUGCAUUAUCUGUCAGCACAAAUAAAGAUUCACUUGUUACUCUACCCGCUAUAACAAAAGCUUUAAGCAUUCAUAUUUAUCAAAGGGCAAUAAAACACAAUAUACAUAUAUUAUUUGAAACAAUCUAUGGAAUGAUGGAAGGAGCAAAAUAAAUGGAGAACUAUUAUUUAAAAUAACAUUCAACUUGUGGUGAGAUAAUGCUUCUUAAAAAUUUUAAUGUAUACAAGUCAUAGGAUUGGUAUUAUUGCAAACUUGGGUUUCUUGUGUAAUAUGGUGUGAAGAGAAUUUCAAGAUCCAGAUUUAGAACAGACAUGUAUCACAAUUCAACAAGUCACAGAACUACAACAUCACAGUCUGCCAAACCUAAGAAGUUAAGUUAAUGAAUGUAAGCAUGCAUGUUUGUUGCCUUUGUGUCUGUCACAUUUUCUUGUGGUGGCAGUGAUGGGCUUGGGAUAGUUUCAAGUUUUACAAUUCAGAGUGUAUGUGAUAAUAUACACUUUGCACAAAGUUUGGCAGAAUAUAUAUCUCGCCCCGCACCAACAUGAGAUCUCUUCGAAUCAAGCCAUGCUCUGCCUUGCACCUUCUGCCAGAGCACCAUCGACAAAUCAACCCCCAACCCUCCCCACCCUGCCCCUACUAGCCAGAGUGAGGAGGGUGAAUCAAAAAUGCCCGUCCCAUCUAGACCUCUAAAGCCUGACAUGACUUCCACAAAAGAAAAUAGUUGUGCACCUUCUUUUUCAGGAAAAUAUUAUGCUAUGGAAUGAAGGUAUACAAAUAAGCAUGCUUUGAUUUCGACAACAGACCUCUCGUUUAAGAUCAUCAGGUAGAUUAUCUGUCGAAACAAGAGUCUGAAGUUCAGCUUUAAGCUUCUCAUCUUUGAUACCCAACCAUGUGCUGGGAUGUAAAGCCAGCAGAAGAACGGUCAGAACAUCUGCACUUGAUGGAUAUUUGACAACAUUGUUCUUCAAGUUUGAAUUGCACGAACUGGCACCAGGUGAAGACAUUGGUAAAAGCAUAUCAACACCGUGUUCAUUGCCUUCAGAAACCACAGAGGCUGAGAUAACAGUCUUAAGCCCAUCACCAUUCGCUUGGAUACAUUUUAAACAUGUUUCUUUGCAGCAGAAACCAUGUCUUGAUGCAAGGUUUCCUGAUAGCAUUGCAGCUCCCUGACAGCAUACAGCAGCUGCAAUCCUAGUAAGGGAAUCUUCUUCGCUUGACGAUGAGCAAUUACAACAUGGGUUAUUAGCAUAUUGUAGAUCGUGGACUAUGGCAAAUAGCCUGGUAUCACGAACUUGCUGUAGAACAUUUUCCUGCAAGUGAAUACAAUGUGUGUUACAGAACGGAGCAAAACACCAACCCAGCAUCAGAAAAUGAAAUGAAAAAUCAGGAAAUGCCACCUUCAAGAAAAGCCUUUCUUUCUCCUCUUUGCUUAAGCUUGGGUCCCCUUCCUCUUUCCUUCUAACUUCAACAACCCAUUUGAUCAAAGCUUCAGCUUCAGCUGGAAGAGAUUCAAUUAAACGGGACAAAAGUGUUUGAACAUUGUCUAGAUUAUCUCCCUUCAAAAGAUUUGGUAAAUCUUCAACACAAUACUUUGCCAUGCUUUUCCAGUUCUCAUCUCUGCAGCUCUGCAGAAAACUGAAACUACUGAGGAAGGAAAAAUACAUCAAAUGCCUCGUAUAAAUUCAACUGACCGAGCAUCGGUAUUUUACCACUGUGUACAAUGACGAAGGGGCUGCAGUCUUUCUUGAUAUAAGCAUGAACCUAUCAAAUAUAAAGAUGCCAACACCUUAAAAUGGCAUGAUUAAAGUCAAGACAGAGUGACAGACUACUGAAUAAUCUUAUCAUACUGAAGAAAACUAAAGCAUCACUAAAUUUUUCUGAAUGUGUAGGAAAUUGCAUAUAAACAAUAUGACAUUAAGGUAUAUUGUAUGUACUAUGUAUAAUGCACAACGCUAUUUUUUAACUUGCCACUCCGUACAAAGGUACGGCUAUCUUAAUAUUAGCAUGCCCCCAGAGAAAAUGAUCAAGAGUGAGUGAGAGGAAGGUAGGCAAAAGUAGAGACCCCCUGAGAAGUCCAGUUGAGUCAUCAGUCAUAUUCAUGGCAUCCCAAAGAAGUCUCAGUGGAACCCAAUGUGGAGGGUAUUUGAAGCGAGCGACAUCCAAGAUGAGCGCCAUAUCCUGUCCGGCAUGGUAGCCACCGAUUGGGGAGAAAUGCCCAGUUCCAGUCUGCUUCAUUGCACAAUGUCAUAUACACAGAUAACAGAUGUAUGCAAUGGAGGUUGACGAACUCAACAAUCCAAUCUAAUGCGUAAAUGAAUUGUAAGAGAUUAAUGGGGGUUAGAACUGUAGUGUGUGUCUGAGGGGAAAGAUGAGACUGAUCAUAGGAUGCCGACUAGGGGAAUUGCCCAGGGGAAUGGGGAAUUUGGCGUGACCUGUUUGAAAGCCUGCCUAUGAUAGGAGGCGAUAAGAUGGCAGUCCUGGGAGGAGACGCAUCGGACGAGAUGCCGUCGUAGGUCGUCGAUGGUGGCCAGGUUGGCGCGGAAGGAUUGAACGUUGGCGCCGGAGCAGCGUGCGAGGCAGGCGACCUUGCCGAAGGUGAUGCCCUCGGCCUUGACCUUGUCGAGGGGCUCGCAGCAGUCGAGCAUGGACUCGUCGAACCACCGCCACGGCCCCUUCCACCGGCGGCCCGGGUCGAUGGAGAGCGCGUUGAGGACGACGGCGAGGGAGGCGAGGCCGCAGAAGG
RNAcentral lists this long non-coding RNA (6266 nucleotides) under Setaria italica (foxtail millet). Its description in RNAcentral is "long non-coding RNA (SITA_LNC003615)". The record is from RNAcentral. Lineage: Eukaryota; Viridiplantae; Streptophyta; Magnoliopsida; Poales; Poaceae.